Molecule: long non-coding RNA, 3984 nt
Organism: Lates calcarifer (barramundi perch)
Lineage: Eukaryota; Metazoa; Chordata; Actinopteri; Centropomidae
Exons: 10
Source: RefSeq, a predicted model, not a curated record
ACACACACACACACACAGUCACAUCACAGAGCCGAGUACAGUUUCAGGUAUUUCUACUUUGUUAUUCAGUGUGGCUCAGAGAAAAGCUGAGUCGGCCUCUGCUGUUUUCUGGAACAUUUUCUCACCUGAAACAAAACACAGCUUCACUUAUCGUCAGGUUAACUUCAGUUUCAACACAUUUUACUAAGUCUCUGAAUACUGUGAUUGAUAUUUACAGUGUCAUUUAUCUCAUCCUCUCGUUAAGAAGAAGGUGUAAAGGUCGUGAGGCAGUUAUCUCUGCGACUGUAAGAUCAAGGCCUGGUCCACAGCUAAUGUCUGAAGACACUGAGCUCCUCUGGGUUGGAGCCAAACGGCCUGAUCCCAGUAUUUUUAGAUCCAGUAUUUUCCCACCAAAAUCUAUUAUUUUAGUUUUCUUCCUGGUGACGCACAGAGGGACAGACUGAUGAAUCCCUGCACUCAGUCAGUGCAGAGUUUCUUAGAGUGUCGUGGACUCAGUUUGUUGUUUGUGAUGACUGUAAUGAACUCAGGCUGACCUGACUGACUGCAGGAAUUCAGGAUUUUCCUGCACACCUGUUCACCACGUGUGCACUAAACAACACUUCAUUCACGGAGAAAUAAACAGCAACACUUUAUUCUCUAAGUCCGACCUGAUGAGUCCGUCAGAAUGUGGUCGAGCGUUAAUAUCAAAGGAAAGAUAAAGUGGUCAGUUCUGUUGGAUUUCUAAGCAGCUGUUGAUUGUUUUACAGCCUGGAUAUUUCCUUCUAAUCCUGGAAAGUUUCCUGGAAAGAAACGGGCAGUUUGUAUUGAAGGAAACAGUCUGAGUCUGAAGCUGUUAUUUUAAUGACUUCAGUUAGUCACAGUAGAGAGAUUACUGCAUUUAAAUCUCAGAGAACAAUUAUUACUCAUUUAUUUAUUGGGAACUUGUGCGUGCACCUGCUGUUAGCUUAGCAACUGAUCACUCUCCAUUUAACCUGCAGCAGCAGGAUGUGUUGCCUUCCUGAGCAGACUGUUUGGAAAUACAGUGGAACAUGAGGUGUUUCCUCCAACCGUGAAAAGCAAAGACCUGAAUCCUGAUCCACACCCUGAACAUAAAACCAACAUUAGUUCUGUGUACGUGUGUUUGUUCCACACGGAUGGGUUGAAUGGAGAGUUUUACACCUCCUCCUCCACCUCCUCCACCUCCUCCACCUCUGCUGCUGCUGACUGUAACUUCGCAGGCUGUUUAGAAAACUCCCUGCAGACUGACUGACUGACACAUGACACCGUUACUAUCAGCUUCAGCCGUGUGUUUUGGAUUAGAGCCAUGGCAGCGGUUAAUCUGACCCUGGCAGGAACCUGAGGAAUCAUCCUGCAGGGAGUUAGAGGAUGGUUUCACCUCCUGGUCUCACUGCAGUCUCCUGAACAGCACUUCUACUGUGAUUAUCUGACCAUAAACUGACGGCUUAAUCACAGUUAUUUGUCUGGAACACACUGCUUCUCUCUGUCAUUUAUUAUGGUUUGAUUAUUUUUUUAUCUGGACUAAAAUGGACAUUUUUCACUGUUUCUGAACAGGCAUAUUAACUGCUUACAUUUUCACCUGCCUGAUGGUUUGUUUGUUAAUUUGUCAACAGGUUUACACAGAACUUGCUGGAGGGAUGGAGCACAGACCAGAGAGGAGCCAAAGGAAUCUCCCUGCAGAUCGGGUUAAAGGAAGUUUAGAUCUCUCUCCUUGAUGCUGCGGUUUCUGACAUCCUGGCUUUAGAAGGUACAAACUCUGCUGAGUGCUAUUCUAGCUAUUUGCUUAAGUAUUUACAUCUACAUCAUCACAGCAGCUGCAAAAAGAAACAACAGAAAAUAGCACAUUUAAAGCCCAGAGGAAGAAGCAGGAGUCAGCGCACUAUCACAGCCCCUGCUAUGAUUUACAGUCCAUAUCUGCCCAGAUCAUCUACAAACUUCCUUUACAACAACAUGAGGAAGUCGUGUUGUAAAGGUCAUAAGUUGAAAGGUCGAAGCACUGUGAGCUUUCUGUACAUUUAAAUAAAGAGCAGGGAACCAAACAGAGACAAUACUGAUCAAUAAGAUAUGAUCAGCCUCCGCUGGAUAAACCCAGCUUCAACAUUCACUGAAUUUAUUGAAAUGUGUCUAAUAUCUCUCUAAUAUAUUUCUACCACUGUGACAUGGAGGUGUAGUGUCAGAUCAGUGUAAAACUAACAGGAAACACUAAUGCAAAUAUGAUUAGUCCUUUAUCAGUGAGUCCAUCUGUUGGUUUCUCAUCAUGUGCUGAUGUUUUGGUCCAUGAAAGGCUGCAGAUACUGAGACCUGUCCGUCACCUGAGAGUUUCAGUUUAGUGUCAGAAAAUCAGAACCUCGUCACAUUUAAAAAGCUGGAAGCAGUGAGUUUUACUUUCCAUUCCCUUCCAUUGUUCAGCUAAUCAAUGAGCAGAGCAGAGGGAUGGUGUGCAGCUAUAAUCAGGUGUCACUACAGUGUACAGGCCACUCCGCGCUUACAGCUGCGAACACAGUGUUUGUGGUUUAAACGAGGGGCUCAGUCUGCAGCCUCAACUCCGCUACGUUCACGCCAACAUCAGCCCGCAGGCAGGAGGCAGGUGCCAGUCCACGCACGGCGGGCAGAUGCUGACAUCUGGCCCGCAGCGUGUUCACUGAACGUGUCAGCCUCACUUUAUUCUGGCGGACGGAGACGAUGAGAAUGAGUCACACCGCACACACAGUUAGGCCAGAGAUCAUGCAUGUGACUAUUAAAAAAAAAGAUGGAGACAGGCCUUCACAGUGGAGAAGUCUCACGAUAAUAACAUUUGGGGGAACUGUCAUGUCCACGUUCUGCGUAAAGCUCCGUGGCCGCCUACCUGUGAAAUCGGCGUCGUCCUGCGGGUUAUUCCCGGUGUCGUCCAUCCGAAAAUUAAAGGAGAGGAUGAGGAGCCGCCCUCAGCUGUGACUGAUUUUAGCUGCAAACUGGCGCAGCACAAUCAGCGACCAAUCAGCGUUUCGUCCACCAACGUCGCUGGCGUAUGUCGUCAUUGAGCGUCGCCUGCUGACGGUAGCGCUCAGUGGAGAAACAAACUCUGAAAAUACACAGAAAAACCAAGCUUCACCUCAUCGCUGUGUUACUGACCAACUUUACUCGACUCGUCUGGACGUUAAAACAACACUUCGACUUGUUUUUGUCCAACACAGUAACAAAAACAACGCUCGACACCGAGGUGAUGUUGACACGAAGAACCAGGAGGACGUUACUGAGACCAGCGAUCACAAUCAACACGACUGGCAGUGUCGUCACAACCAACCGACGUACCGACGUCGCUGGCGUCUGUCGUCAUCGAGCCUCACCUGUUGGCAUCAGAACACAUCGGUGGAGAAACAAACUCAGAAAAACAGAAAAAACAACCCGCGACUCGUCGCUUUGUUUCCUCGUCUGCUCUGGAUGUUAAACAACCUCUCCACGUGUUUUUGUCCAACACACUGACGCUGGACUCAACGCCAAGAUUGGCAGUGUCGUCACAACUAAUCGACGUGCUGACGUCACUGAUGGGGACCUGCCGGUGAGGAAACUCGUCGCUUUGUCAGCUCCGUCACAGUCUUCAUUCCUCAGCGUGUAUGGAUGCUUCAUCGAGCUGUGGAGUUGUUUCUGGACGCUCAACACCAAGGAUUGUGUUCAGCAGCAGCUGCAGCCUGGACACAAACUCCAGCUCUCACCUCAAACAGGUGUCACCACUUCAUCCACCAUCCUCCUACACACAGAGGCCUCCAGAUCAACCAACAGACACAGGAGCCACUGAAGGUGAAGCUCAGUGUUUCCUGGUUCAACUCAGAGUCCUGAGGAGAAAAACAACAAACAUCAGCAACUGUUUACACCUUCAAAAUAAAAGCACAGAAGAAGCUGCUCUGACUGGAGAAAAUGUCUCUUCAAAUCUCAACUAAACGAUGUACAUGGCUCAAGUGUUACAAACUAAUCCAAUAAUAAUGAAAUAAAAUAAACCUCUGAUCAUUA